CCUACGGGCGGCAGCAGUGGGGAAUAUUGCACAAUGGGGGAAACCCUGAUGCAGCGACGCCGCGUGAGUGAAGAAGUAUUUCGGUUUGUAACGCUCUAUCAGCAGGGAAGAACGUGACGGUAACUGAUUAAGAAGCCCCGGCUAACUACGUGCCAGCAGCCGCGGUAAUCCGUAGGGGGCAAGCGUUAUCGGGAUUUACUGGGUGUAGAGGGAGCGUUGACGGCAGCACAAGUCUGGAGUGAAAUGACGAGGCUUAACCCCGGAACUGCUUUGGCAACUGUGCAGCUAGAGUGCAGGAGAGGUAAGUGGAAUUCCUAGUGUAGCGGUGAAAUGCGUAGAUAUUAGGAGGAACACCAGUGGCGAAGGCGGCUGACUGGACUGUAACUGACGUUGAGGCUCGAAAGCGUGGGGAGCAAACAGGAUUAGAUACCCUUGUAGUC
RNAcentral lists this ribosomal RNA (440 nucleotides) under uncultured bacterium. Its description in RNAcentral is "partial 16S ribosomal RNA". It matches the Rfam family "Bacterial small subunit ribosomal RNA", at positions 338 to 795 of the family's 1533-position model. The record is from RNAcentral.